RNAcentral lists this ribosomal RNA (338 nucleotides) under uncultured bacterium. Its description in RNAcentral is "partial 16S ribosomal RNA". It matches the Rfam family "Bacterial small subunit ribosomal RNA", at positions 338 to 689 of the family's 1533-position model. The record is from RNAcentral.
CCUACGGGGGGCUGCAGUGGGGAAUAUUGGGCAAUGGAGGCAACUCUUACCCAGCAAUGCCGCGUGAAUGAAGAAGGUCUGCGGAGGGUAAAGUUCGUGAAGUGGGGACGAAAAAAAUGACGGUACCCAAGGAAUAAGCAACGGCUAACUACGGGCCAGCAGCCGCGGUAAUACGUAGGGGGCAAGCGUUGGUCGGAAUGACUGGGCGUAAAGGGUGUGGAGGCGGUGUAGCCAGUUAGAAGUGAAAUACCUAGAGCUUAACGCCGGUGCUGCUUCUAAAACUGCUAUACUUGAGUGCAGGAGAGGCAAGUUGCAUUCCUAGUGUAGCGGUGUCAUGC